UUUUGCAGCUGCUGGUCAUCCAGGUGCCACCCUGCGGGAAGUUUGGGCAGCACGGAGUCCGCCAGCAUUCUACAGGAAGUUUGGGGGAGCACAAGGUUGCCUGCAGAAGGCCAUCAGAAGGGGAGAGUGAUCUGCCUGCUCCCCGCAGUUGAGAGUGCUGCACUGCAAGUGUUACCUGGUGAGGCCCACCUCCAGCCCACUACUUCUGGGAAAAAUGACUUAAUGUCUAAGGAGAAGGCUAAUUUGGAAGGGAGUCAUACUGGUACAAG
This 269-nucleotide long non-coding RNA is filed under the name Homo sapiens (human). Its description in RNAcentral is "HSALNT0120530". Lineage: Eukaryota; Metazoa; Chordata; Mammalia; Primates; Hominidae. The record is from RNAcentral.